GGGCGCUUAGCUCAGUUGGCUAGAGCAGCUGGCUUACAACCAGCAGGUCGUGGGUUCGAGUCCCUCAGCGCCCACCA
RNAcentral lists this transfer RNA (77 nucleotides) under Acidimicrobiaceae bacterium. RNAcentral's name for it is "tRNA-Val". It matches the Rfam family "tRNA". From Rfam's summary of the family: Transfer RNA (tRNA) molecules are approximately 80 nucleotides in length. Their secondary structure includes four short double-helical elements and three loops (D, anti-codon, and T loops). RNAcentral also lists the same sequence under 1 other name. Lineage: Bacteria; Bacillati; Actinomycetota; Acidimicrobiia; Acidimicrobiales; Acidimicrobiaceae. The record is from RNAcentral.